AUGAAGACCGGCGCCGGUGAGGCUGUCAAGUCGCAGGUGGCCGGGCUGCGGGCCGGGGCCAUCGUCAAGCUCAACGCCGCCUUCCUCGCCUUCUUCUUCCUCGUCUACAUGGCCCUCCUGCUCCACCCCAAGUACUCCCACAUCCUCGACCGCGGCGCCUCCUCUCUCGUCCGCUGCACCUUCCGCGACGCCUGCCCGUCCACGUCCCACCUCUCACGGAAGCCGGGAGGAAGAUCAGUGGCGGCGGCGAACAAGGUGGUGGCGACGGAGCGGAUCGUGAACGUGGGGCGCGCGCCGACCAUGUUCAACGAACUGCGCGGCCGGCUGCGGAUGGGCCUGGUGAACAUCGGCCGCGACGAGCUGCUGGCGCUGGGCGUGGAGGGCGAUGCGGUGGGCGUGGACUUCGACCGCGUGUCGGACGUGUUCCGGUGGUCGGACCUGUUCCCGGAGUGGAUCGACGAGGAGGAGGAGGACGGGGUGCCGUCCUGCCCGGAGAUCCCCAUGCCGGACUUCUCCCGGUACGACGACGACGUGGACGUGGUGGUGGCGGCGCUGCCGUGCAACCGGACGGCGCAGGGGUGGAACCGCGACGUGUUCAGGCUGCAGGUGCACCUGGUGGCGGCGCAGAUGGCGGCGCGCAAGGGGCGGCGCGACGGUGCCGGCCGGGUGCUCGUCGUGCUGCGGAGCGAGUGCGAGCCGAUGAUGGACCUGUUCCGGUGCGACGAGUCCGUGGGGCGGGAGGGGGACUGGUGGAUGUACACCGUCGACGUGGCGCGCCUCCAAGACAAGCUCCGCCUGCCCGUCGGCUCCUGCAAUCUCGCGCUGCCGCUCUGGGGGCCAACAGGCAUCCACGAGGUGUUCAACGCGUCGGACCUGACGGCGGUGGACGCCGGCAGCCAGCGGCGCGAGGCGUACGCGACGGUGCUACACUCGUCGGACAGGUAUCUAUGCGGCGCCAUCGUGCUGGCGCAGAGCAUCCGGCGGUCGGGCUCCACCCGCGACAUGGUCCUCCUCCACGACCACACCGUCUCCAAGCCGGCCCUCCGCGCGCUGGUCGCCGCCGGGUGGAUCCCGCGCAGGAUCCGGCGCAUCCGCAACCCGCGCGCGGAGCGGGGCUCCUACAAUGAGUACAACUACAGCAAGUUCCGGCUGUGGCAGCUGACGGAGUACUUCCGCGUCGUCUUCAUCGACGCCGACAUCCUCGUCCUCCGCUCCCUCGACGUGCUCUUCCGCUUCCCGCAGAUCUCCGCCGUGGGCAAUGACGGCUCCCUGUUCAACUCCGGGAUCAUGGUGAUCGAGCCGUCGGCGUGCACGUUCGAGGCGCUCGUCCGCGGGCGGCGCACCAUCCGGUCCUACAACGGCGGCGACCAGGGGUACCUGAACGAGGUGUUCGUGUGGUGGCACCGGCUGCCGCGCCGGGUGAACUACCUCAAGAACUUCUGGGCCAACACGACCGGGGAGCGGGCGCUCAAGGAGCGGCUGUUCAGGGCGGAGCCGGCGGAGGUGUGGUCCAUCCACUACCUUGGGCUCAAGCCGUGGCGGUGCUACAGGGACUACGACUGCAACUGGAAUAUCGACGACCAGCGCGUGUACGCCAGCGACGAGGCGCACCGGCGGUGGUGGCAGGUGUACGACCAGAUGGGGGAGGUGAUGCGGGGCCCGUGCGCGCUGUCGGAGCGGAGGAAGAUCGAGAUCGCGUGGGAUAGGCACGUCGCCCAGGAGAUCGGCUACGCCGACCAGCACUGGAAGAUCAACAUUACCGACCCCAGGAAGUGGGAGUAG
This 1782-nucleotide ribosomal RNA is filed under the name Triticum aestivum (bread wheat). RNAcentral describes it as "partial small subunit ribosomal RNA". The record is from RNAcentral. Lineage: Eukaryota; Viridiplantae; Streptophyta; Magnoliopsida; Poales; Poaceae.